This 206-nucleotide ribosomal RNA is filed under the name uncultured bacterium. RNAcentral's name for it is "partial 16S ribosomal RNA". It matches the Rfam family "Bacterial small subunit ribosomal RNA", at positions 568 to 774 of the family's 1533-position model. The record is from RNAcentral.
UGCGUAGGCGGGUCUUUAAGUCAGGGGUGAAAUCCUGGAGCUCAACUCCAGAACUGCCUUUGAUACUGAAGAUCUUGAGUUCGGGAGAGGUGAGUGGAACUGCGAGUGUAGAGGUGAAAUUCGUAGAUAUUCGCAAGAACACCAGUGGCGAAGGCGGCCCACUGGCCCGAUACUGACGCUGAGGCACGAAAGCGUGGGAGCAAACA